This 1894-nucleotide unclassified non-coding RNA is filed under the name Portunus trituberculatus (swimming crab). RNAcentral describes it as "phosphatidylserine synthase 2-like, transcript variant X5". Lineage: Eukaryota; Metazoa; Arthropoda; Malacostraca; Decapoda; Portunidae. The record is from RNAcentral.
GAUAGAUUUUACGGCAGUGUGUGUGUGACAGUGAGACGGGAAGGAGUUCUAGUAUCUCCAACAGCUUGAACCAAAUGUGGAGCAUAGCAGUGUAUGGCUGAUUGUGACACCGGGUGAGGGAACCGACUGGUGUCCACCGCCCUGCCCCGUGACUUCUGUUCUCUUCAGAGUUAUUAUUAGUCUUGCACACACGCUGCAUGGUACACAACAGGAGGAUGAUGGAGAGUGAGAAGAUGGAGAGUGCAGAGCGGAGAAGAGUUGAAGGGAGACAGGAGGGGGAGGAGGCUGAGUUUGACCUGCUGCGGGAUGACACGCCAGGCCCUGAGUUUGCCAAUGACCUCUCACGGUCCAACUCAUCCCCCAUCAUUGGGAACAGCCCAAUGCAUGACUGGGAGAGUGAGAAGACCACUGAGAAAGAGUUCUUUGAUGAUGGUACCAUGACCUAUUUCUGGCGGGCACACACGCUCACCACUCUGGUGUUCAUGAUAUGCUUCCUACUGUAUGAGGCGCUCACUCCUCCCGAUGAGGACAUGGUUGACAACACCAAAAGGGGUAUUGUUGCCAGUCUGUCUGCCUUCAUCCUCUUAGGUGUAACAGUCACUCCUGAUGGCCCAUUCAAGCGGCCACACCCGGCCAUCUGGCGCCUCACCUUCAUCAUAUCCAUCGUUUAUGAACUCGGCCUCAUAUUUGUUCUCUAUCAGAGUGCCUCAGGGGCACGACAGCUACUAAAGCACAUCGACCCCAAGCUUGGGGAGCCCAUGGAGGAGAAGGACUAUGGGGGAAACUGCCGUCUCUAUGACCAUGAGAGACCAGAUGACCCUUUCCAUAAUAUUAAGGACAAGGUGGACUUGUUUGUGCCUCUCCAUUUCUUUGGCUGGUGGAUGAAGACGCUGCUGCUGCGGGACUGGUGGCUGUGCUGGGUGGUGUCUGUAAUGUUUGAGCUGUUGGAGUACACUUUGGAACACCAGCUGCCCAACUUCUCAGAGUGCUGGUGGGAUCAUUGGAUUAUGGAUGCCCUAGUGUGUAAUGGUCUGGGUAUCUACUGUGGCCUUCAGUCUCUAAAGUAUUUCUCCAUGAAGAUUUACCACUGGCGAGGACUCUGGAACAUUCCUUCAUACAGAGGAAAGCUGAGGCGCAUCAUUGCUCAGUUUGGUCCCUAUGUGUGGGUGGACUACGACUGGAAGCCCCUGUCAUCCCUUGGCAGGUGGUUCUCUGUUCUUGCUAUCAUUGCCAUGUUCCUGAUCACUGAACUGAACACAUUUUACCUCAAGUUUGUAUUAUGGGUGGAGCCAGGCCACUGGGUCAACCUGGUGCGUCUCAUCUUCAUCCUGCCUUGGGGUGCUGUUGCUCUGAGAGAGGUUUUCCAGUUUCUUGAUGAUCCAGAUAUCACAAAGUUUGGUCGGCAAUCAUGGCUCUUCCUGUCAAUUGUGUGCACAGAGCUGCUCAUUGUGAUCAAAUUUGGCUGGGACACCGUAACUAUUCCAUUCCCAAGACAUGUGAUCUCCAUGUGGCUGGGAUUCCUGGUGUUGCUGGUGCUGUGGACGGUGUGGAACUUUUACAUUAACCCUCACACAUUCAAUACUGGCGGUAGCAGAUGGUGCCGGAGCUGAAACAACUUGUACCCAAGGGAAAGGAAGAUUGAUGGGGGUGAAAAAUGGCUGUAAAGGGGCUUCUCGCCUAAAUUGUUACCCUAAAGUAUCCUGAGGUCUUCCCAAGCAUUGGAAGACCCUUAAGAAGGGAAUCGGCUAGGUGUUGGUGGACAGCAAGGAUAUUGAGCGGCGCCGGGAACACUGGAUUCAAGUGCGUGCGAUUGAAACAAAGCUCAGCCCUUCGGAGUCAAGGCUGUUUGACCCACAGUUCUUCUUUAAGAAGUUCAUGCAGAGGACCAAGGAAG